GAUGUGAUUUGUUGGAGGUUUUCGGCUGAAGGUUUUGCUUGGAUUCACAUUUGAUUCUGAAGUUUGGCAGUGAUUUCAGUUCGAUGGAGUUUGAAUUCCACGGUGAGGAUGACACUUAGGACAUGACGGAAGGCCCUCGGAUGGAGUAGACGAGGAGGCGGGAUGGACGCAUGGUACUGUCUGUUGUCUGGGAGUGCAGAGCAUACUGGUUUUUACCACGAGGGAUUUUCGUUUCUUUAUCAUUCAGGUGGGAAAUAUUGAGGAGAUAUUGUUUUUAUCGAUAAAGAUUUGUUGAUACAGUCAUGUCUAUUGGUUAUGAUAGUUUCUUGAUAGUACUGCAAUA
This is a long non-coding RNA of Zingiber officinale, 343 nucleotides long. RefSeq lists it as uncharacterized. The record is from RefSeq and is a predicted model, not a curated record. The transcript is spliced from 2 exons. NCBI's taxonomy places the organism in Eukaryota, Viridiplantae, Streptophyta, Magnoliopsida, Zingiberales, Zingiberaceae.